This 2283-nucleotide long non-coding RNA is filed under the name Sarcophilus harrisii (Tasmanian devil). RNAcentral's name for it is "lncRNA (ENSSHAG00000023567.1)". The record is from RNAcentral. Lineage: Eukaryota; Metazoa; Chordata; Mammalia; Dasyuromorphia; Dasyuridae.
CGGUGAGCCAGUCCCUGACGUCAGGAGUUUUCCUCAAAGUCAACAACAAGCCCCGCGGCGGCGGCGGCGGCAGGAGCACGGGCUCCCAUUCCGAAGGGAAGGGAGGAGGAGCAGACGGUGGCGGCCGGUGUUCUCCGGGAGGAGGAGGGGAAGGAGGCGGCGGCGGCGGCGGCCGCGUCUCCUCCCGCGCCAGCCCCGCACCGCCCCAGCCCUCGGAGCGGAGUCCCGCAGCAGUGUCCGCCGUGGUUCGGAAGCGGCCUCGCGGAGGGCGGGGCCCAUGGGCUGGGGCGGCCCCCGCUGCCUCCUCCUCCUCUUUUUUCUCCUCCUCUUCUUCCUCCUCCUCCCCCUUCCCAUCCGUGACCCAGGCUUCCCUCCCACCCUUCACCCCCCGCGCGGGUGGUGUUUUCUAGUGAUGAAUUGAAUUUGUAGCCGAUAUCCGAUUCCCAUGUAGAGUCUCCGCCUCCCUCUCCUCCUCCUGCUCCUCCGCCGCCGCCGCCUCCUCCUCCACCUCCCCCGCCUCGCUCCCUCCUCCCGCUCCCGCCGCCGUCGCCUCCUCCUCCUCCUCCUGUUCCAGCUCCGCGGCCGGGCCGGGCUCCCUUCCUCCCUCCCUCCCUCCCCUCCAGCCCGCCCUCCCGCCGGCCACACCGGGCACUAGGGGGGCGUGAGGCAUUGCGGGGUGGGGGGCGGACAGGAGGGGAGGAGGAGGAGGGAGGGAGGGGGGACCCCCGAGUCACCCCCUCUCCUCCCCCCGCCCCCCGGCUCCAUCCUCUGCCGCCGCCGCCGGAGCAGCCGCGGUGCCGCCGCUGCCGCCGCCUUUGCAGGCUGAGUCAUCACUAGAGAGUGGGAAGGGCAGCAGCAGCAAAAGAGAAUCCAAACCCCAAAGCUGAUAUCUCAAAGUAUCUUUUCUUGAAGUUGAGGGCUCAGAGGGGAGCCAUCAUGAGCGAUGUUACCAUUGUGAAAGAAGGUUGGGUUCAGAAGAGGGGAAGGAAACUUUAGCAGCAGAGUAAUGUUCCAGUAGAUGGCAGCAACAAUUCAGGAGAGAAUCAUGGAGACGAUGUGAAUCUUGAGCUGAUGGUGGAUGCUGAGGCAGGAGCAAGAUAAGGCAACUGAGAUCUAGAGAUGUAAAAUGGAUAUCUCAAGGUCAUUGAAAUGAAGACACAUCUUCUGAUUCAAAGUUCAAUAUUCUUUCUAUUGCAUGACGUUGAAAAAAAUUUAAACAAAGUCAUCACGAUAAGAUUGUAGAUUUUGAGUCAAAAAGAAUAUAUAUUCAAGCUUCUUCAUUUUACAGAUAAAGAAGAGACCUCUUUGGUGGAGCCUACAGGAGGAGAGGAAGCACAAGAUUCAUAAGAUGGCGGGCGGAUCUUUCUAGAAGGCCCAUUACAAGUUAAAGAAUUUAAUCAGGACUCACGCCAUCAAGCAUUUUUUGGAAGAGAUAUCGACAUCACUGCUCAAAGAUGAAUGAUGACAACUGGCCAAUGAAUUGUGUUCCACAGACAUCAUCACAGAAUUGAAAGCUCUCAAUUUGCUACUGCAGGGAAAAGGAAAAAAAAAAUGGACUUGCCUAAGAAAUUAAUGACAGCUUGCUAAAAUUUAGUUUUGGAGGAAAAAAAGCACUUGAAAACUCUAAAUAUUUAUUGAGCAUUUACUAUGUGGAAAUACUUUCAUUUUAAAUAUAAUUUCAGGUUUAACUUCACCAUUACACUGUUGACAUAUCCCUUUUAAAAAAAUUCAAAAAUUGGUUGUCAUUUUUUAAACUAUGCAUUUUUCCAAGAUACUUAUGGAAUGGAAUGGUGAAGUCAUUGAGAAUUGUGUACUCUUCUUUUACCUGGACAUUGAAACUCUUUUACUGGAGAUGAUUGAAUUUUACGGUUAUCAUCGUAAUUUUAAAAUUCUAAGAGAAAUAUUAGACAGUGUUUUUUUUUUAUACAUGGACACUAAAUGUUGCUUCUGUGAAACUAUCAAUAUGUUUUCCAAUUACUAUUUUCUUACAUCACAUGAUACCAAAAAGUACACCAUGAAAAUUAAGUUUUUGUUCACAGUGAAUCUUUUGUAAGAAAUAGGAAUUUAAUUCUUCAGUAUUGUGUAGAUAGUUUCUGUUGUAUUCAUCAAUUACAUCUAGACUUUCAACCUGUCAUGAAACAUGCAAAUGAGUCUUUACUGAGAGUAAUAGGGCACAUCAAGCAAUAGCACACUGAACCUUAUCUUUUAUUUGUGAAAUUUUCCAAAGCUUUUAUUUAAAGUAUCUGAUGUUUUAUCUGUCUUUCUGAUUAAAACAAAUUCCUG